GACGCCACGAGGUGUUUCUCUCCCGUUCACCCGUCCGUGUCCAUCCGGAUCACUCCCUCCGCUCUCCGGCUCCCCACCGCCCGCGCGGGAGAUAUUUCGCGCGACCCGACCCGACGCGAUGUCGCUGCUCGCUCUCGCCGCCGGUCGGGCAGCCUCCGUGCGGCCGCCGCGCGCGUCGGCGGCCUCGGGGGAGGCGGCUGCUCCCGCUCCUGCUCCUGCGGUGGCGGAUCAGCCGGCGGGGCGGAGGCCGGUGAAGGUGAUACUGCCAAAGAAGAAGCCGCAGAAGUGGUCGACGGGGAUGGCGCCGGGGGAGUACGGCGGCGGGCCGGCGACGCCCAAGCCGCGGAAGUACUGGAUGGGGAAGGAGGACCGCGACCCCGUGGGCAACACCGACGACUUCAUCUGGAACAAGGACUUCCUCCCCCACAUGGAGCGCGUCAUCGCCAACGGCGGCGCCGACACGCCCCCCACCAUCCCCCGCCUUACCCCGGUGGAUGAGGACGCGGAAUCGGGGUUUCUGAGCAUCAACCGCGCGAUGAGCCUUGACAGUGUGGAGGUUGAUCUGAGCAAGGAGCUUCAGGCGCCGACCAGGCCGAUCUUGCAAACCCAGGUUGAGGCUGCCUGGCGGGGGCGGGCCAUUGGAGCUGAGGCUGUGAAUGGUGCUGCAUCUCCUAGAUGGAGACUAGUCCCGACGCGCCAGGAACAGGCAAAGUGGGACCGAGCGGCUAAGGCAGCCACUGGUGGCAGUGAUGUCAUACUAAGGGAGUCAAAGUCAAGGGUGCAGCAAGGGGACCCUGAGGUAUUGGCAGCUAAGUCCAGGGAGCAAUAUCUAGAGUUGAAACAAAGAUUGCAGUUACUUACUUUGGGUAUUGGUGGCAUUGGUGUAAUCUCCGCCUAUUUUUCCUACUCUCCUGAAAUUGCUGUGAGCUUUGGUGCAGGGCUGAUUGGAUCUAUCCUGUAUCUCCGCAUGCUUGGAACCAGUGUUGAUUCCUUAGCGGGUGGAACUGGAGAAACUGUAAAGAGUGCUGCUGCCCAACCAAGAUUGCUUAUUCCAGUGGUAUUAGUGAUGACGUAUAACCGAUGGAAUGGGAUAUUAGUUCCAGAUUAUGGUUUCAUGCACCUGGAAUUGAUACCGAUGCUUGUUGGGUUUUUCACCUACAAGAUUGCAACAUUUGUUCAAGCAAUUCAAGAAUCCAUACCUGAAGUUGGAAAUCGUGAAGUUUGAACAUAGUUCUGGUGAAUAGAAAAUAAAGGUAGUUGCCCUGAGGGAAGAUUUGGUCACCAAGAUGUCAAAGAUAGUAAGGUCAAGGUUUUAUAAGGAUCCAAUCUGAAUAUGUUACCAGGAUAAGAUGUUGGCUGAGUCGUCAAGGAGGGAGACAAGGAUACCAUCUGAAUCUUGACUGGUUAAUCAUAAUGAUGCCUUCAAUUUUACUAUAACUGCACAAUAGAAAAUCAGUACAUAGGCGUGUAGUCAACUUCAUCCCAUUUUACACGUCAAUCAUGAACAUUUAUGUACACCUUAAACUUUUGGUUCAGUGACCACUGAAUUGUAUGGUUUAUCUUAUAUUAGCAGUAUGCAUAACAAUAUAUAGCCAGGACUCAUGACCAAUUCUGAAUGCAAAUAACACAGGAUGUCAAUACAGCUGAAUUCAAUAAGCUUGGGGAAUCCUAUGGAAGCCUUUUUUUUCAUGAACUGGAUAACUCUUUUCAAGUACUAGUACUUAACUGGAAUGUGUAAGUGCAUUUAUGACAUUGUCACAUUGUUCCCUGUACUGUGUGAAAAAUGCAUCUGCACCAAUGCUGACUUGUUUUAAAA
Molecule: RNA transcript, 1816 nt
Organism: Oryza brachyantha (malo sina)
Lineage: Eukaryota; Viridiplantae; Streptophyta; Magnoliopsida; Poales; Poaceae
Gene name: protein CONSERVED ONLY IN THE GREEN LINEAGE 160, chloroplastic
Exons: 10
Source: RefSeq, a predicted model, not a curated record